AACGAACGCUGGCGGCAGGCUUAACACAUGCAAGUCGAGCGCCCCGCAAGGGGAGCGGCAGACGGGUGAGUAACGCGUGGGAACGUACCUUUUGGUUCGGAACAACUCCGGGAAACUGGAGCUAAUACCGGAUAAGCCCUAACGGGGAAAGAUUUAUCGCCGAAAGAUCGGCCCGCGUCGGAUUAGCUAGUUGGUGAGGUAACGGCUCACCAAGGCGACGAUCAGUAGCUGGUCUGAGAGGAUGAUCAGCCACACUGGGACUGAGACACGGCCCAGACUCCUACGGGAGGCAGCAGUGGGGAAUAUUGGACAAUGGGCGCAAGCCUGAUCCAGCCAUGCCGCGUGAGUGAUGAAGGCCUUAGGGUUGUAAAGCUCUUUUGUCCGGGAAGAUAAUGACUGUACCGGAAGAAUAAGCCCCGGCUAACUUCGUG
RNAcentral lists this ribosomal RNA (431 nucleotides) under uncultured bacterium. Its description in RNAcentral is "partial 16S ribosomal RNA". It matches the Rfam family "Bacterial small subunit ribosomal RNA", at positions 29 to 507 of the family's 1533-position model. The record is from RNAcentral.